Molecule: ribosomal RNA, 378 nt
Filed under: uncultured bacterium
Lineage: Bacteria
Description: bacterial SSU rRNA
Rfam family: Bacterial small subunit ribosomal RNA
Source: RNAcentral
UAAUACGUAGGGGGCGAGCGUUGUCCGGAUUUAUUGGGCGUAAAAGGCUUGUAGGUGGCCACGGCAAGUCGGAUGUGAAAUCUCCCGGCUCAACUGGGAGGGGUCAUUCGAUACUGCCGGGCUCGAGGCCGGUAGGGGGAAGCGGAAUUCCCGGUGUAGUGGUGGAAUGCGUAGAUAUCGGGAGGAACACCAGAGGCGAAGGCGGCUUCCUGGACCGGUCCUGACACUGAGGAGCGAAAGCGUGGGGAGCGAUCCGGAUUAGAUACCCGGGUAGUCCACGCCGUAAACGGUGGGCACUAGGUGUCGGGGGUAUCGACCCCUCCGGUGCCGCAGCUAACGCAUUAAGUGCCCUGCCUGGGGAGUACGGCCGCAAGGCUA